CCUACGGGAGGCAGCAGUGAGGAAUAUUGGUCAAUGGACGAGAGUCUGAACCAGCCAAGUAGCGUGAAGGAUGACUGCCCUAUGGGUUGUAAACUUCUUUUAUAUGGGAAUAAAACGUUCCACGUGUGGGAUUUUGUAUGUACCAUAUGAAUAAGGAUCGGCUAACUCCGUGCCAGCAGCCGCGGUAAUACGGAGGAUCCGAGCGUUAUCCGGAUUUAUUGGGUUUAAAGCGAGCGUAGGUGGAUUGUUAAGUCAGUUGUGAAAGUUUGCGGCUCAACCGUAAAAUUGCAGUUGAAACUGGCAGUCUUGAGUACAGUAGAGGUGGGCGGAAUUCGUGGUGUAGCGGUGAAAUGCUUAGAUAUCACGAAGAACUCCGAUUGCGAAGGCAGUUCACUGGACUGCAACUGACACUGAGGCUCGAAAGUGUGGGUAUCAAACAGGAUUAGAUACCCCUGUAGUC
This 460-nucleotide ribosomal RNA is filed under the name uncultured bacterium. RNAcentral describes it as "partial 16S ribosomal RNA". It matches the Rfam family "Bacterial small subunit ribosomal RNA", at positions 338 to 795 of the family's 1533-position model. The record is from RNAcentral.